GCAGGUGGGGAGGUGGUUGCCCCCGCUGCUUCGUUUUACGAAGCAAAACGGCGGGGGAGGAAAGUCCGGGCUCCAGAGGAUAUAGCGUAAUGGGUAAUGCCCAUCUCCGCCACAGAUCGUUGGCGGACGGAUCAGAGCCACAGAGACGAGUAUUAGAAAUGGGGUCAGAAUUAUUUAUUGCCCCAUUAAAUAGAAUGAAUAAAUAAUUCUGACCCCAUUUCUAAGAAGGUGAAACGCGGCAAUCUCUACGCGGAGCAAGGCAGAAUAGUCCCGCCUUUCCUGCUGGAUAAGCAGGAAUAAAGGUAAUCCGCCUGACAAUCCUCAUAGAUUUUUAUGAGGAAAGGCGGGAGGGUAAGCUGCUAGAGCCUUGAUGGUAACAUCAGGUCUUAGAGAAAUGGCCACUAACAGAUGCGGAUAAUCGUAUCAAAACAGAACCCGGCUUAUCUUCAUCUGCCCGG
Molecule: RNase P RNA, 458 nt
Filed under: Omnitrophica WOR_2 bacterium RBG_13_41_10
Lineage: Bacteria; Pseudomonadati; Candidatus Omnitrophota
Description: RNase P RNA component class A
Rfam family: Bacterial RNase P class A
About the family: Ribonuclease P (RNase P) is a ubiquitous endoribonuclease, found in archaea, bacteria and eukarya as well as chloroplasts and mitochondria. Its best characterised activity is the generation of mature 5'-ends of tRNAs by cleaving the 5'-leader elements of precursor-tRNAs.
Source: RNAcentral